Molecule: ribosomal RNA, 1251 nt
Filed under: metagenome
Description: bacterial LSU rRNA
Rfam family: Bacterial large subunit ribosomal RNA
Source: RNAcentral
AUAUACGACCGUACCGCAAACCGACACUGGUGCGCGAGAUGAGUAUUCUAAGGCGCUUGAGAGAACUCAGGAGAAGGAACUCGGCAAAUUGACACCGUAACUUCGGAAGAAGGUGUGCCCUAUUAGUGUGUAGUGAACAACGAAGCAUGAAUGGGUUGCAAAAAAUCGGUGGCUGCGACUGUUUAUUAAAAACACAGCACUCUGCAAACACGAAAGUGGACGUAUAGGGUGUGACGCCUGCCCGGUGCUGGAAGAUUAAAUGAUGGGGUGCAAGCUCUUGAUUGAAGUCCCAGUAAACGGCGGCCGUAACCAUAACGGUCCUAAGGUAGCGAAAUUCCUUGUCGGGUAAGUUCCGACCUGCACGAAUGGCGUAACGAUGGCCACACUGUCUCCUCCUGAGACUCAGCGAAGUUGAAAUGUUUGUGAUGAUGCAAUCUCCCCGCGGAAAGACGGAAAGACCCCAUGAACCUUUACUGUAGCUUUGUAUUGGACUUUGAACAGAUCUGUGUAGGAUAGGUGGGAGGCUUUGAAGCAGGGUCGCUAGAUCUUGUGGAGCCAACGUUGAAAUACCACCCUGGUGUGUUUGAGGUUCUAACCUAGGUCCGUUAUCUGGAUCGGGGACAGUGCAUGGUAGGCAGUUUGACUGGGGCGGUCUCCUCCCAAAGCGUAACGGAGGAGUUCGAAGGUACGCUAGUUACGGUCGGACAUCGUGACGAUAGUGCAAUGGCAUAAGCGUGCUUAACUGCGAGACUGACAAGUCGAGCAGAUGCGAAAGCAGGACAUAGUGAUCCGGUGGUUCUGUAUGGAAGGGCCAUCGCUCAACGGAUAAAAGGUACUCUGGGGAUAACAGGCUGAUACCGCCCAAGAGUUCAUAUCGACGGCGGUGUUUGGCACCUCGAUGUCGGCUCAUCUCAUCCUGGGGCUGUAGCCGGUCCCAAGGGUAUGGCUGUUCGCCAUUUAAAGAGGUACGUGAGCUGGGUUUAAAACGUCGUGAGACAGUUUGGUCCCUAUCUUCCGUGGGCGCUGCAGAUUUGAGGAAGCCUGCUCCUAGUACGAGAGGACCGGAGUGGACACACCUCUGGUGUAUCGGUUGUCACGCCAGUGGCAUUGCCGAGUAGCUAAGUGUGGAAGAGAUAACCGCUGAAAGCAUCUAAGCGGGAAACUCGUUUCAAGAUGAGAUCUGCCGGGGCCUUGAGCCCCCUAAAGAGUCGUUCAAGACCAGGACGUUGAUAGGUCAGGUGUGGAAGCGAU